This 439-nucleotide ribosomal RNA is filed under the name Idiomarina piscisalsi. RNAcentral's name for it is "bacterial SSU rRNA". It matches the Rfam family "Bacterial small subunit ribosomal RNA", at positions 200 to 617 of the family's 1533-position model. The record is from RNAcentral. Lineage: Bacteria; Pseudomonadati; Pseudomonadota; Gammaproteobacteria; Alteromonadales; Idiomarinaceae.
GGGAAAGCAGGGGAUCUUCGGACCUUGCGCUAUUGGAUGUGCCUAUGUCGGAUUAGCUAGUUGGUGGGGUAAAGGCCUACCAGGGCGACGAUCCGUAGCUGGUCUGAGAGGAUGAUCAGCCACAUCGGGACUGAGACACGGCCCGAACUCCUACGGGAGGCAGCAGUGGGGAAUAUUGGACAAUGGGGGCAACCCUGAUCCAGCCAUGCCGCGUGUGUGAAGAAGGCUUUCGGGUUGUAAAGCACUUUCAGUGAGGAGGAAAAGUUGGUCGUUAAUACCGUCCAGCCUUGACGUUACUCACAGAAGAAGCCCCGGGUGGGGUGGGGGGGCAGCAGCCGCGGUAAUACGGAGGGUGCAAGCGUUAAUCGGAAUUACUGGGGCGUAAAACGCGCGUAGGUGGUUUGAUAACCGAAAUGUGAAACCCCCGGGCUUAACCUGG